RNAcentral lists this transfer RNA (74 nucleotides) under Talaromyces pinophilus. RNAcentral's name for it is "tRNA-Val (AAC) (tRNA-Val-AAC-1-1)". The record is from RNAcentral. Lineage: Eukaryota; Fungi; Ascomycota; Eurotiomycetes; Eurotiales; Trichocomaceae.
GGCCGGUUGGUGUAGUUGGUUAUCACGUCUGCUUAACACGCAUAAGGUCGCCGGAUCGAGCCCGGCACUGGUCA